GGCGAACGGCUGAGUAACACGUGGGCAACCUGCCCUUUGCACUGGGAUAGCCUCGGGAAACCGAGGUUAAUACCGGAUACUCCAUAUUUGUCGCAUGGCGAAUAUGGGAAAGCUCCGGCGGCAAAGGAUGGGCCCGCGGCCUGUUAGCUAGUUGGUGGGGUAGUGGCCUACCAAGGCAAUGAUGGGUAGCCGGGUUGAGAGACCGACCGGCCAGAUUGGGACUGAGACACGGCCCAGACUCCUACGGGAGGCAGCAGUC
This 259-nucleotide ribosomal RNA is filed under the name uncultured Atopobium sp. RNAcentral describes it as "partial 16S ribosomal RNA". It matches the Rfam family "Bacterial small subunit ribosomal RNA", at positions 97 to 355 of the family's 1533-position model. Lineage: Bacteria; Bacillati; Actinomycetota; Coriobacteriia; Coriobacteriales; Atopobiaceae. The record is from RNAcentral.